RNAcentral lists this ribosomal RNA (467 nucleotides) under uncultured bacterium. RNAcentral describes it as "partial 16S ribosomal RNA". It matches the Rfam family "Bacterial small subunit ribosomal RNA", at positions 28 to 507 of the family's 1533-position model. The record is from RNAcentral.
GACGAACGCUGGCGGCGUGCUUAACACAUGCAAGUCGAACGGAAAGGCCCUGCUUUUGUGGGGUGCUCGAGUGGCGAACGGGUGAGUAACACGUGAGUAACCUGCCCUUGACUUUGGGAUAACUUCAGGAAACUGGGGCUAAUACCGGAUAGGAGCUCCUGCUGCAUGGUGGGGGUGGGAAAGUUCGGCGGUUGGGGAUGGACUCGCGGCUUAUCAGCUUGUUGGUGGGGUAGUGGCUUACCAAGGCUUUGACGGGUAGCCGGCCUGAGAGGGUGACCGGCCACAUUGGGACUGAGAUACGGCCCAGACUCCUACGGGAGGCAGCAGUGGGGAAUAUUGCACAAUGGGCGGAAGCCUGAUGCAGCAACGCCGCGUGCGGGAUGACGGCCUUCGGGUUGUAAACCGCUUUCGCCUGUGACGAAGCGUGAGUGACGGUAAUGGGUAAAGAAGCACUGGCUAACUACGUG